AGGAUAAACGCUGGCGGCGUGCCUAACACAUGCAAGUCGAACGUCUCUUCUUUCGGGAAGAGGAGUGGCGGACGGGUGAGGAACACGUGGGAACCUGCCCUUUAGUGAGGAAUACCGGCGAGAAAUCGCCGACAAGACCGCAUAGCCCUCUUUGAUGAGAGUCAAAGAAGGAAAGCUUCGCAAGAGGCGCUAGAGGAGGGGCCUGCGUCCGAUUAGCUAGUUGGUGGGGUAAGAGCCUACCAAGGCGUCGAUCGGUAGCUGGUCUGAGAGGACAAUCAGCCACACUGGGAUUGAGAACGGCCCAGACUCCCACGGGGGCAGCAGUGAGGAAUUUUCGGCAAUGGGGGAAACCCUGACCGAGCAACGCCGCGUGCAGGAAGACGGCCUUCGGUUGUAACUGCUUUCUUGGAAGAGGAAGGACGGUACCAGAGGAAUCAGCCCGGCUCACUACGUGCCAGCAGCCGC
Molecule: ribosomal RNA, 465 nt
Filed under: uncultured bacterium
Lineage: Bacteria
Description: SSU rRNA
Rfam family: Bacterial small subunit ribosomal RNA
Source: RNAcentral